AAUAUACUCCCUCCGUCCGAAAUUACUUGUCACAAAAAUGGAUAAUAAUGGAUGUAUCUAGAAAUAAAAUACAUCCAUUAUUAUUCAUUUUUGUGACAAGUAAUCCCGGACGGAGGGUGUACAUG
Molecule: non-coding RNA, 125 nt
Organism: Hordeum vulgare subsp. vulgare (domesticated barley)
Lineage: Eukaryota; Viridiplantae; Streptophyta; Magnoliopsida; Poales; Poaceae
Source: Rfam